Molecule: ribosomal RNA, 3004 nt
Filed under: Targowskia paracuniculus
Lineage: Bacteria; Pseudomonadati; Pseudomonadota; Gammaproteobacteria; Pasteurellales; Pasteurellaceae
Description: Haemophilus paracuniculus bacterial LSU rRNA
Rfam family: Bacterial large subunit ribosomal RNA
Source: RNAcentral
AGUUAAGUGACUAAGCGUACACGGUGGAUGCCUAGGCAAUCAGAGGCGAAGAAGGACGUGCUAAUCUGCGAAAAGCUUGGAUGAGUCGAUAAGAGGCGUUUAAUCCAAGAUGUCCGAAUGGGGAAACCCGCUAGGUGAAGAACCUAGCAUUKWCUAUUGAAUACAUAGKUAGUMAAGGCAAACCGGGAGAACUGAAACAUCUAAGUACCCCGAGGAAAAGAAAUCAACCGAGAUUCCGUAAGUAGCGGCGAGCGAAAGUGGAAGAGCCAGUAAGUUUUAGCAUCAUAUUUAGGAGAAUGAGCUGGGAAGCUCAAUCGUAGAGGGUGAUAGUCCCGUAUCCGAAAAAUCUGAUGUGGAACUAAGCUUACAACAAGUAGGGCGGGACACGAGAAAUCCUGUUUGAAGAUGGGGGGACCAUCCUCCAAGGCUAAAUACUCCUGAUUGACCGAUAGUGAACCAGUACUGUGAAGGAAAGGCGAAAAGAACCCCAGUGAGGGGAGUGAAAUAGAACCUGAAACCGUGUACGUACAAGCAGUGGGAGCCCCAUCACUCAAUCCUAUUGAGUGGUGUAAAAAAUCCACAAAAUCUAACCGCUUGGUUAACCACUUGCGAAGCAAGUGGGUCAACCGAAAAAAGGCAGUGGGAUUGAGUGAUGGGGUGACUGCGUACCUUUUGUAUAAUGGGUCAGCGACUUAUAUUUUGUAGCAAGGUUAACCGAAUAGGGGAGCCGAAGGGAAACCGAGUCUUAACUGGGCGUUGAGUUGCAAGGUAUAGACCCGAAACCCGGUGAUCUAGCCAUGGGCAGGUUGAAGAUUGGGUAACACUAAUUGGAGGACCGAACCGACUAAUGUUGAAAAAUUAGCGGAUGACUUGUGGCUGGGGGUGAAAGGCCAAUCAAACCGGGAGAUAGCUGGUUCUCCCCGAAAUCUAUUUAGGUAGAGCCUUGAGCGGACACCUUCGGGGGUAGAGCACUGUUUCGGCUAGGGGUCCAUCCCGGAUUACCAACCCGAUGCAAACUGCGAAUACCGAAGAGUGAUACUCAGGAGACACACGGUGGGUGCUAACGUCCAUCGUGGAGAGGGAAACAACCCAGACCGCCAGCUAAGGUCCCAAAGUCUAUGUUAAGUGGGAAACGAAGUGGGAAGGCUUAGACAGCUAGGAUGUUGGCUUAGAAGCAGCCACCAUUUAAAGAAAGCGUAAUAGCUCACUAGUCGAGUCGGCCUGCGCGGAAGAUGUAACGGGGCUAAAACAUAGCACCGAAGCUGCGGCAUCAGUGGUAACACUGUUGGGUAGGGGAGCGUUGUGUAAGCGGAUGAAGGUGAAUCGAGAGGUUUGCUGGACGUAUCACAAGUGCGAAUGCUGACAUAAGUAACGAUAAAACGAGUGAAAAACUCGUUCGCCGGAAGACCAAGGGUUCCUGUCCAACGUUAAUCGGGGCAGGGUGAGUCGGCCCCUAAGGCGAGGCUGAAAAGCGUAGUCGAUGGGAAACGGGUUAAUAUUCCCGUACUUGUAAUAGAUGCGAUGUGGGGACGGAGAAGGUUAGGUUAGCAGACUGUUGGAUGUCUGUUUAAGCCGGUAGGUGGGAAGACUAGGCAAAUCCGGUCUUUCAUUCAACACCGAGAAGUGAUGACGAGUUUCUACGGAAACGAAGUAACUGAUACCACGCUUCCAGGAAAAGCCACUAAGCUUCAGUCUAUUAUAAACCGUACUGAAAACCGACACAGGUGGUCAGGUAGAGAAUACUCAGGCGCUUGAGAGAACUCGGGUGAAGGAACUAGGCAAAAUAGCACCGUAACUUCGGGAGAAGGUGCGCCGGCGUAGAUUGUAGKMSYYYRCSKMCGAAGGYYGAACCRGUCGAAGAUACCAGCUGGCUGCAACUGUUUAUUAAAAACACAGCACUCUGCAAACACGAAAGUGGACGUAUAGGGUGUGAUGCCUGCCCGGUGCUGGAAGGUUAAUUGAUGGUGUUAUCGAAAGAGAAGCUCCUGAUCGAAGCCCCAGUAAACGGCGGCCGUAACUAUAACGGUCCUAAGGUAGCGAAAUUCCUUGUCGGGUAAGUUCCGACCUGCACGAAUGGCAUAAUGAUGGCCAGGCUGUCUCCACCCGAGACUCAGUGAAAUUGAAAUCGCCGUGAAGAUGCGGUGUACCCGCGGCUAGACGGAAAGACCCCGUGAACCUUUACUAUAGCUUGACACUGAACAUUGAAUUUUGAUGUGUAGGAUAGGUGGGAGACUAAGAAGUAGGCACGCCAGUGCUUAUGGAGUCGUCCUUGAAAUACCACCCUUUAACGUUUGAUGUUCUAACGAAGAUUGCGGAACGCGGUCUCGGACAGUGUCUGGUGGGUAGUUUGACUGGGGCGGUCUCCUCCCAAAGCGUAACGGAGGAGCACGAAGGUUUGCUAAUCACGGUCGGACAUCGUGAGGUUAGUGCAAUGGUAUAAGCAAGCUUAACUGCGAGACAGACAAGUCGAGCAGGUGCGAAAGCAGGUCAUAGUGAUCCGGUGGUUCUGAAUGGAAGGGCCAUCGCUCAACGGAUAAAAGGUACUCCGGGGAUAACAGGCUGAUACCGCCCAAGAGUUCAUAUCGACGGCGGUGUUUGGCACCUCGAUGUCGGCUCAUCACAUCCUGGGGCUGAAGUAGGUCCCAAGGGUAUGGCUGUUCGCCAUUUAAAGUGGUACGCGAGCUGGGUUUAGAACGUCGUGAGACAGUUCGGUCCCUAUCUGCCGUGGGCGUUGGAGAAUUGAGGGGGGCUGCUCCUAGUACGAGAGGACCGGAGUGGACGCAUCACUGGUGUUCCAGUUGUUUCGCCAGAAGCAUUGCUGGGUAGCUAAAUGCGGAAGAGAUAAGUGCUGAAAGCAUCUAAGCACGAAACUUGCCCCGAGAUGAGUUCUCCCUAGCUAUAAGCUAGUAAGGGUUGUUGGAGACUACGACGUAGAUAGGUCUGGUGUGUAAGCGUUGCGAGACGUUGAGCUAACAGAUACUAAUUGCCCGAGAGGCUUAACUAU